Long non-coding RNA from Mya arenaria, 5531 nucleotides. RefSeq lists it as uncharacterized. NCBI's taxonomy places the organism in Eukaryota, Metazoa, Mollusca, Bivalvia, Myida, Myidae. The record is from RefSeq and is a predicted model, not a curated record. The transcript is spliced from 3 exons.
CGCAACCUCGCGCCAACUGUCAAAAUGUUUUGAAAAACAAAAUGCUCUUAUUUCGAUGCAUUUCAAGAGUUUUGUUGUGAUAAAAACAAUGGAAUAUAGACUAAAAUACUAUCCAACCAUUAGACUCAUGAUCUUGACAUGGAUCCAAGAUGCUGGUAACUAGGCGGGACAGAUUGUUUCACAGAACUGCAGAGACUCAGCGCCAUGUCACAAAUACUUCCGAACCUAGAAUGAAAGUUACCGAAAGAGCAAUAGACUUUCCAAUCUCUACAAAAUUCAUCUUAACUGUUCUUCAAGGUGAUACUUGAGACUACCAAAGACUUUUCAAGGACAGAAUUCACAAAACAGUUUAUGCCACCAUCUCAUAUCAAAGGAUUGUGCUUGAGUUGAACAGCCUUCAAACAGAAACUGUUUCAACACCUUCAAUGGAUUCAUUCUGAUUCAGUUUACUCUUGCUGUGAUCUGAGCAACUAUUUACAUCAGUUCAACAUUGUAAAUUGUUUAAACUUGAAAAUUCUGUCUUCUUGCAACUCACAUGAAUCUAUUUACUGUGGACUUUGAUGUUGACUCUAUACAGGAAGAAGAGACCAUCUUUAUACAUGCUGGCAUAUCAUUUAAAAAGGAAACAAAUUUUAUAACCAACAUACUGCACUGUUAUGUCAUCCAAGGACUCAGCUACUGACUCAAUUUAUAAAUACUUCAAAAUAAAAAAUGUCUCUAAUAAGACAUUUUUUAUUAUGCCCCCUUCGAAGAAGAGGGGUAUAUUGCUUUGCACAUGUCGGUCGGUCGGUCGGUACCGUCUACCGUCUGUAGACCAAAGCUUGUCCGAGUGAUAACUCAACAAUUCCUGGACGUAUGGUCAUCAAACUUGACAUGAAGGUUGGGCCUGACCAGUAGAUGAUUUUAGGGCUUAUCGGGUCAAAGGUCAAGGUCACAGUGACCUUGAAUGGUAAAUUAAUUUUAAAGCUUGUCCGAGUGAUAACUCAACAAUGCCUAGACCUAUGGUCAUCAAACUUGAUAUGGAAGUUGGGCCUCACCAGUAGAUGACCCCUAUUGUUUUUGGGGAUCAUCGAGCCAAAGAUCAAGGUCACAGUGACCUUGAAUGGUAAAAGGUUGUCCAAGUGAUAAAUCAACAAUGCCUGCACCCAUGGCCCUCAAACUUGACUCGGAGUUUGGGCCUUACCAGUAGAUGACCCCUAUUGAUUUUAGUGGUCAAAGGUCAAGGUCACAGUGAUCUUGAAAGCAAACUUGACAAUUCCUGGACCAAUGGUCAUCAAACUUGACAUAAAGGUUGGGCCUGACCAGUAGAUGACCCCUCUUAACUUUGAGGGUCAUCGAGCCAAGGUCAAGGUCACAAUAACCUUUAAUGCAAAAAAGAUAACAAAUCUUCUCCCAGUGAUAUCUCAACAAUGCCUGAACCUAUGAUCAUCAAACUUGACAUGGAAGUUGGGCCUGACAAGGAGAUGACGCUUAUUGAUUUUAGGAGUCAUUGGGUCAAAGGUCAAGUUCACAGUGACCUUGAAUGCGAAAAUGUUUCGAGUGAUAACUUGACAAUGCCUGUACCCAUGGCCCUCAAACCUGACUUGGAGUUGUGUCUGACCUGUAGAGGACCCCUUUCCAUUUUGGGGGUCAUCGGGUCAAACGUCAAGGUCACAGUGACAUUGAUUGAAAAAAGCUUGUCUGUGUGAUAACUUGUCAAUGCCUGAACCCAUGUCCCUCAAACUUGACAUUUAGAUUUUUGUAGACCAGCUGAUGACUCAUAUGGAUUUUGAGGUCACAGAGUCAAAGGUCAUGGUCAUAACACACUCUAUCCUCACACUUUGAAUGGUCAUAAUCUGAAAACUGCCUCAACGGCAUCCAAUGCCAGUGACUAAUCAGCUGUCAUUUUGGUCCAUGCUUAUUUCAUUCAAUUGUUCAUAUAAUCCUGACAACAUGACGCUCAGGUGGGGGCAUAAUGUUUGACAAACAUCUCUUGUUGAUACUUGGCUCAUUUCUUACAUGUAGCUGUAACAUUUUGGGCAACUUCUCAAUUAUUUUGUUUAAGACAUUUUUCAUUAAGCUCAUCUGAGCCUAAGUUAGUGUUCAAGUUUACUUUUAUGACUGCCUGUUUAUUGUACUUUUUAUAAAUUAUUUUCAAUGACUUUUUCUCAAAACCAUUUGGCUAAGUAUGUCUCCUCCUGAAAUAGACUAAUUCUUUUAGCUCGGAAGAUGUUGCUUUCACAUUGAGAACUGACUUACAAGUUGAUAAUGUAGAAGCUGUAUGGACUGAACUGUUUUUAGCUCACCUGUCACAUAGUGACAAGGUGAGCUUUUGUGAUCACAAUUUGUCCGGCGUCCGUCCGUCCGUCCGUCCGUAAACUUUUACUUUAAACGACAUCUCCUCAUAAACCGCUUAGCCAUUUUCAUCCAAACUUCACAGGAAUGUUCCUUGGGUGGUCCCCUUUGAAAAGAAUUGAAUUCCAUGCAGAACUCUAGUUGCCAUGGCAAUGGAAAGGAAAAACUUUAAAAAUCUUCUUCUCCCAAACCACAAGGCUUAGGCCGUUGAUACAUGGUAGGUAGGAUUACCAAAUGGUCCUCUACCAAGAUUGUUCAAAUUAUGGCCAUUGGGUCAAAAUUGGCCCUGCCCCGGGGGGUCAUGGGUUUUCACUAUAUGUUUAUAGUGAAAACUUAAAAAAUCUUCUCCUCUGAACUUACUUGGCCUAGAGCUUAGAUAUUUAUCAUGAUUUAUCGUCUAGUGGACCUCUACAAAGUUUGUUCAAAUUAUGGCCCUGGGGUCAAAAUUGGCCCCGCCCCAGGGGGUCAUGGGUAUGCUCUAUAUGUUUAUAGUUAACACUUCAAAAAUCUUCUCCUCUGAACUUACUUGGACUAGAGCUUAGAUAUUUGGCAUGAUUCAUCAUCUAGUGGACCUCCACAAAGAUUGUUCAUAUUAUGGCCUUGGGGUCAAAAUUGGCCCCACCCCUGGGGGUCAUGGGUAUACUUGAUAUGUUUAUAGUUAAAACUUCAAAAAUCUUUUCCUCUUAUCUUACUUGGACUAGAGCUUAGAUAUUUGGCAUGAUUCAUCGUCUAGAGGACCUCUACAAAGAUUGUUCAAAUUAUGGCCCUGGGGUCAAAAUUGGCCCCGCCCCAGGGGGUCAUGGGUAUGCUCUAUAUGUUUAUAGUGAAAACUUCAAAAAUCUUCUACUUGGAACUUUCUUGGACUAGAGCUUAGAUAUUUGGCAUGAUUCAUCAUCUAGUGGACCUCAACAAAGAUUGUUCAAAUUAUGGCCCUGGGGUCAAAAUUGACCCCGCCCCGGGGGGUCAUGGGUUUUCUCUAUAUGUUUAUAGUGAAAACUUCAAAAAUCUUCUACUUGGAACUUACUUGGACUAGAGCUUAGAUAUUUGGCAUGAUUCAUCAUCUAGUGGACCUCUACAAAGAUUGUUCAAAUUAUGGCCUUGGGGUCAAAAUUAGCCCCGCCCCUGGGUGGUCAUGGGUUUUCUCUAUAUGUUUAUAGUAAAAAAAAAUCAAAAAUCUCCUCUGAACUUACGUUGCUUAGAGCUUAGAUAUUUGGCAUGAUUCAUCGUCUAGUGGACCUCUACAAAGAUUAUUCAAAUUAUGGCCUUGGGGUCAAAAUUGGCCCCGCCCCGGGGGGUUAGGGUAUUCUCUCUAUGUUUAUAGUUAAAACUUCAAAAAUCUUCUCCUCUGAACUUACUUGGACUAGAGCUUAGAUAUUUGGCACGAUUCAUCGUCUAGUGGACCUCUACAAAGAUUGUUCAAAUUAUGGCCUUGGGGUCAAAAUUGGCCCCGCCCCCUUGGGGGGUCAUGGGUUUUCUCUAUAUGUUUAUAGUGAAAACUUCAAAAAUCAUCUCCUCUGAACUUAUGUGGCUUAGAGCUUAGAUAUUUGCAUACAUGCCAUAUCUCCCGGAGGGGGGAAAAAUCCCCCGGAAUUUCGGUCCAUCCCCUGGUCUCCCGGCGGGAGAUGCAAAUCCCCCGGAAUUUCCAAAAAAAAAAGAUUUUUUUUUUAAACCUCCGCUUACGAGCGUGUUGUCACUGGUUUUAUUACCCGAGAUUUGAUCCGCGUGUUUACGGUAAGGAAUUUGAUGCGCUGUAUUUUACAUCUGGAUUAUCGAUUGAUGGUAUGUAGACAGCCUUGCACAAACUGCCAAUCAGUAGGGUACAUGUUUUGAUUGUUACACAGUGUGCCAUAAUAGCGCCUUUGAUCUCUGCGUUAUACGAUCGAAAGGUCGCAAUAAAUUUGUAUAGGUGUCACAAAUUGUUUGUUUGUUUUAACCCUGUAAGGGUGUUGACAUUAAAUUACAAAUGAAGAUGUUAACACGCAACUAUUGGACAAUUUUCCGACGUGUGAAAAUGUUACGGUAUACUGUACUGUUUCUGAUAAUGAUGGAUUAUUCUAAAUUCAUAUCGGUACAGUCACCAUCAAACUGAAACGCUGAGCGUUGUUUCAGCAUAUUGAGAAAAAUUCAGACAGACUCAAGGUCAAGAUUGACUUCAGAAACAAUUCACAAUCUGCUGAGUGUAAAGUUUAAUGAACAUAACAUUUGCAGCUCAUUUGUUCCUUCCAAGGACAUGCUAUAUAAAUCAACCAAUUCAUGCAAUUAAUUGUGCAUGUGUUUGCUAUCCUGAUUGUCAUGUGGACCUAGUGCUGUGAAGUGCCUAAAAAUGAUUUUUUUUAGUAGUGCUUACUUAGUUCUGUGAAGUGCCUAAAAAUUCAUUUUUUUAGUAGUGCUUUUUGUAAAAAUUUACUUUUUUUCAUUAUUUAACAUUUUAUAUAAAUACAUUGAAGUGUUAUAUGCAUAAUAUAUUAUGAAUUGAUGUUAGUUCAGUUGCAAUAUUGAAUGAAUAUUUUUAUAUAAUUAUGUGAAUAAAAUACAAAAAAUUGAUAUUUCGUGAACUUAUACUUUCGAUAUAAAAUCCCCCGGAAUACUUUCCAAAUCCCCCUAAAUUUUAAGCCUUUUGCCCUAAUCUCAUGGAAUGGUCUCCAAAAAAUAUGGCAUGUAUGUAUUUGGCAUGAUUCAUCGUCUAGUGGACCUCUACAAAGUUUGUUCAAAUUAUGGCCCUGGGGUCAAAAUUGGCCACACCCCGGGGCUGAUUGGUUUUCUCUAUAUGUUUUAUAGUGAAAACCUAAAAAAAUCUUCUCCUAACUCACAAAGACAAGUAACGUCUAAAUUUAAACUGGAUAACAUAUUUAGUACACAUACUAAUUUUCCGUCCGUCCGUUAACUUUUACUUUAAACCUCAUCUCCUCAUAAACCGCUUAGCCAAUUUCAUCCAAACUUCACAGGAAUGUUCCUUGGGUGGUCCCCCAAUUGUUGAAAAUUGUUCAAAGAAUUGAAUUCCAUGCAGAACUCUGGUUGCCAUGGCAACGGAAAGGAAAAACUUUAAAAAUCUUCUUCUCAAAAACCACAAGGCCUAGAGCCUUAAUAUUUGGUAUAUAGCAUCAUCUAGUGGUCCUCUACCAAAAUUGUUAAAACUAUCCCCCUGGGGUCAAAAAUGGCCCCGCCCCGGGGGUCACUUGUUUUACAUAGACUUAUAU